This 231-nucleotide ribosomal RNA is filed under the name uncultured bacterium. Its description in RNAcentral is "partial 16S ribosomal RNA". It matches the Rfam family "Bacterial small subunit ribosomal RNA", at positions 29 to 250 of the family's 1533-position model. The record is from RNAcentral.
AACGAACGCUGGCGGCGCGCCUAAUACAUGCAAGUCGAGCGAGAAGACGUAGCAAUACGUUUGUAAAGCGGCGAACGGGUGAGGAAUACAUGGGUAACCUACCCUCGAGUGGGGAAUAACUAGCCGAAAGGUUAGCUAAUACCGCGUACGCUCCUUGGACUUCGGUUCAGGGAGGAAAGCGAUGCCGUGGGUAUCGCGCUCUUGGAUGGGCUCAUGUCCUAUCAGCUUGUU